CCUACGGGAGGCAGCAGUGAGGAAUAUUGGUCAAUGGACGAGAGUCUGAACCAGCCAAGUAGCGUGAAGGAUGACUGCCCUAUGGGUUGUAAACUUCUUUUAUAUGGGAAUAAAACGUUCCAAGUGUGGGAUUUUGUAUGUACCAUAUGAAUAAGGAUCGGCUAACUCCGUGCCAGCAGCCGCGGUAAUACGGAGGAUCCGAGCGUUAUCCGGAUUUAUUGGGUUUAAAGGGAGCGUAGGUGGAUUGUUAAGUCAGUUGUGAAAGUUUGCGGCUCAACCGUAAAAUUGCAGUUGAAACUGGCAGUCUUGAGUACAGUAGAGGUGUGCGGAAUUCGUGGUGUAGCGGUGAAAUGCUUAGAUAUCACGAAGAACUCCGAUUGCGAAGGCAGUUCACUGGACUGCAACUGACACUGAGGCUCGAAAGUGUGGGUAUCAAACAGGAUUAGAUACCCUAGUAGUC
Molecule: ribosomal RNA, 460 nt
Filed under: uncultured bacterium
Lineage: Bacteria
Description: partial 16S ribosomal RNA
Rfam family: Bacterial small subunit ribosomal RNA
Source: RNAcentral